AUUGAACGCUGGCGGCAUGCCUUACACAUGCAAGUCGAACGGCAGCACGGGAGCAAUCCUGGUGGCGAGUGGCGAACGGGUGAGUAAUAUAUCGGAACGUGCCCGGUCGUGGGGGAUAACGUAGCGAAAGCUACGCUAAUACCGCAUACGAUCUACGGAUGAAAGCGGGGGAUCGCAAGACCUCGCGCGAUUGGAGCGGCCGAUAUCAGAUUAGGUAGUUGGUGAGGUAAAGGCUCACCAAGCCGACGAUCUGUAGCUGGUCUGAGAGGACGACCAGCCACACUGGGACUGAGACACGGCCCAGACUCCUACGGGAGGCAGCAGUGGGGAAUUUUGGACAAUGGCGCAAGCCUGAUCCAGCAAUGCCGCGUGCAGGAUGAAGGCCUUC
Molecule: ribosomal RNA, 388 nt
Filed under: uncultured bacterium
Lineage: Bacteria
Description: bacterial SSU rRNA
Rfam family: Bacterial small subunit ribosomal RNA
Source: RNAcentral